GGCGCGAUUUAACGUAAUAUUUUAGCGCCUAUUCUGUAAAAUACCAAAAGCGAACACCGAGAAUAUUCGUUCCGAGAAUUAACGAACUUCACCGAGUUUAGGGUGCGCCGUGUACAGGAUGCUACAAUCAACAUACAAGCAAUGUUGUUUGGAUUACUCCAGAGUCUGGUAACCACACUGACAAUUUGUUAAAGCUCCAGCAGAAACUUAUUUUAAAGAAGACAUGUGAUAAACUGUUUAUGAAAGUGGAUUGUGACUCUAUUAGAGAAUACAUAAUAUUUCCAAGUUCUUAUGAGAUGGACACUUAAACAUUAGUCAGCACCAGUGAGAUGGUGGUGAUUUUAGUUAUUGUAUAUUAUUUAUUGGACUUAUCAUACCCAUCUUGUUUUGGGCAGUUGCUUGGUUUUUUUCAAGAGAUAUGUGGAUUCGAACAAUUUAUUUUCAUAUCAAAAAGUGCAAUGCACUGUUGAACUCUUUUCGAAGUAAUGUAAAGUUUGCUUGAAAUAUAUACGCAUGAUCCUAAACUACAUGAUACU
This is a long non-coding RNA of Hydra vulgaris (swiftwater hydra), 536 nucleotides long. RefSeq lists it as uncharacterized. NCBI's taxonomy places the organism in Eukaryota, Metazoa, Cnidaria, Hydrozoa, Anthoathecata, Hydridae. The record is from RefSeq and is a predicted model, not a curated record.